AACGAACGCUGGCGGCAUGCCUAACACAUGCAAGUCGAACGAGACCUUCGGGUCUAGUGGCGCACGGGUGCGUAACGCGUGGGAACCUGCCCUUAGGUUCGGAAUAACUCCCCGAAAGGGGUGCUAAUACCGGAUAAUGUCUUCGGACCAAAGAUUUAUCGCUUUUGGAUGGGCCCGCGUUGGAUUAGCUAGUUGGUAGGGUAAAAGCCUACCAAGGCGACGAUCCAUAGCUGGUCUGAGAGGAUGAUCAGCCACACUGGGACUGAGACACGGCCCAGACUCCUACGGGAGGCAGCAGUGGGGAAUAUUGGACAAUGGGCGAAAGCCUGAUCCAGCAAUGCCGCGUGAGUGAUGAAGGCCUUAGGGUUGUAAAGCUCUUUUACCCGGGAUGAUAAUGGCAGUACCGGGAGAAUAAGCUCCGGCUAACUCCGUG
RNAcentral lists this ribosomal RNA (433 nucleotides) under uncultured bacterium. RNAcentral's name for it is "partial 16S ribosomal RNA". It matches the Rfam family "Bacterial small subunit ribosomal RNA", at positions 29 to 507 of the family's 1533-position model. The record is from RNAcentral.